Molecule: ribosomal RNA, 551 nt
Filed under: uncultured bacterium
Lineage: Bacteria
Description: partial 16S ribosomal RNA
Rfam family: Bacterial small subunit ribosomal RNA
Source: RNAcentral
UAGGGAAUCUUCGGCAAUGGACGAAAGUCUGACCGAGCAACGCCGCGUGAGUGAAGAAGGUUUUCGGAUCGUAAAACUCUGUUGGUAGAGAAGAACGUUGGUGAGAGUGGAAAGCUCAUCAAGUGACGGUAACUACCCAGAAAGGGACGGCUAACUACGUGCCAGCAGCCGCGGUAAUACGUAGGUCCCGAGCGUUGUCCGGAUUUAUUGGGCGUAAAGCGAGCGCAGGUGGUUUAUUAAGUCUGGUGUAAAGGCAGUGGCUCAACCAUUGUAUGCAUUGGAAACUGGUAGACUUGAGUGCAGGAGAGGAGAGUGGAAUUCCAUGUGUAGCGGUGAAAUGCGUAGAUAUAUGGAGGAACACCGGUGGCGAAAGCGGCUCUCUGGCCUGUAACUGACACUGAGGCUCGAAAGCGUGGGGAGCAAACAGGAUUAGAUACCCUGGUAGUCCACGCCGUAACGAUGAGUGCUAGAUGUAGGGAGCUAUAAGUUCUCUGUAUCGCAGCUAACGCAAUAAGCACUCCGCCUGGGGAGUACGACCGCAAGGUUGAAAC